This is a long non-coding RNA of Frieseomelitta varia, 485 nucleotides long. RefSeq lists it as uncharacterized. The transcript has 3 exons. The record is from RefSeq and is a predicted model, not a curated record. Lineage: Eukaryota; Metazoa; Arthropoda; Insecta; Hymenoptera; Apidae.
UGUAAUAAAUUAGUUUAACUAAAAUUCGUAAUAUAUCAUAUCUUCGAAUUAUAAACACUGACUUAGACUUGAUUUAUGCUCGAUGUAAAGCAGAGGCCAAUGACGAUUAAGACAGCGACAACUCGCGGUAUGACAUAUGCAACGUGUUUCUUUAUGAACGAGAAUUAUACGUUAUCAUUUCGAAAUUAUUGUGAAACGCGCGAUUACAGCGCCCCAACGGUGAAACACGCAAUAUACUUCCUACGAUUCUCGAAAUAAUCGAUAUUUCUCAUGAUCGAUUUUUAAACGAGAAUAAUCGGAAGGAAACGCACCUCGUCUGUAAAAAAGAAAGUGUUAUCCAGAAGAAGUAUCAAGAAGUUCCAAAAUUCUCAAAUUAUUCCUUGGUUGCAAAGAUAGCAUAGAAUGCGUACAUGUCACGAUCAUUAACGAACAAUCUGAUGACCUUUCACCGAAAGUUGGUAACAUUUUAUUCAUUCUAGGUAACA